RNAcentral lists this ribosomal RNA (373 nucleotides) under Paracoccus marcusii. Its description in RNAcentral is "bacterial SSU rRNA". It matches the Rfam family "Bacterial small subunit ribosomal RNA", at positions 29 to 428 of the family's 1533-position model. Lineage: Bacteria; Pseudomonadati; Pseudomonadota; Alphaproteobacteria; Rhodobacterales; Paracoccaceae. The record is from RNAcentral.
AACGAACGCUGGCGGCAGGCUUAACACAUGCAAGUCGAGCGAGACCUUCGGGUCUAGCGGCGGACGGGUGAGUAACGCGUGGGAACGUGCCCUUCUCUACGGAAUAGCCCCGGGAAACUGGGAGUAAUACCGUAUACGCCCUUUGGGGGAAAGAUUUAUCGGAGAAGGAUCGGCCCGCGUUGGAUUAGGUAGUUGGUGGGGUAAUGGCCCACCAAGCCGACGAUCCAUAGCUGGUUUGAGAGGAUGAUCAGCCACACUGGGACUGAGACACGGCCCAGACUCCUACGGGAGGCAGCAGUGGGGAAUCUUAGACAAUGGGGGCAACCCUUGAUCUAGCCAUGCCGCGUGAGUGAUGAAGGCCUUAGGGUUGUAA